Molecule: long non-coding RNA, 1316 nt
Filed under: Anas platyrhynchos platyrhynchos (common mallard)
Lineage: Eukaryota; Metazoa; Chordata; Aves; Anseriformes; Anatidae
Description: lncRNA (ENSAPLG00000017367.1)
Source: RNAcentral
GAAAAGUGUUUCAGACAUGUACACAACAUGUGGUUUACUAUUAUCAUUAAAUGAGGUGAACUGGGACUCUAUACAUAUGGAUUUUGAAUUGCAUAAAUUUUGAUUGAUAUCAUUUGAAGACUGAGACCCUGAAAGGCUAGAUUUUGUGAAAGACGAUACACAGGCCAGCUAUUACCACAUACAAUAAUACCAGGAAAAAUAUCUGAAAUGAGCAAGGCAGCUGGCUUUUAAAUAGCUAAAACAUAACAUCAAUACUUAUUUUGAAUAAUGGAAAAAAGAGGUAAAAGAUGUUGACCUCUGCCUGACAAUAACAUGUUCCAAAAGUAGAACUGGUCCCAGGAGAAAACCCCCUGCUCAACAGUAGCGACUAAGACAUUUUUUUUCCCCUCUCUCUCUUUCUCUUUCCCUCUUGUUUUCUCUUUCUUUUCUCUUAUUUUUUCAUAUAUAUAUAUUUUUUUAAAUUCAAACUUUUUUUCUUUUUUUUUUUUUUUCCCUUCCCUCUCCCUCCCUGGGAAAGCCAAAUGAGCUUUCGCACACGAAGCCGCCGCAGACAACCCCCAGAAAAAAAAAAAAAAAAAGAAAAAAAAAGAAAAAAGAAGGAUUUUCGCAAAUUCAGGAAACACUUGAGAGACGGUUGCAAAGGCUCAAGAAGGAAUAUUUCCAUAAACAAGUUCAAACUUAAUAAAGAGCAGACAGAGAAAGAAGAAGUCAGAGCGGAAGGGCAAUAAAGCAGGGUGUAAGAAGAAGCAGUCUUUACCUUGGGGCUAUGAACGCUGGGGAGAGCGGCUGUGAGUGCUGGAAGGGCUGGCGCAGCCCUGCACGGAGCCGCGUGGUUGCUGAACCACCAUAAAGCUCAAGGUGAAAGCAAAGCAGAGCUGCUGGGGAGCAGUGAGGGAGCACAAACCCUGCUGCCUGGCUGCAGUACGAGGCAGGGAAACAUUCCCACGAAGCUCAUGAAAGUUUUUGAGAAGCAGCAGGCUAUGGAGAAGGACUGUCAUAAACGUGGAACAUGCCAUCUGAUGCAAUUCGUGUGUUCCUGCAACUUCGGAUGGCAACUUUGCCCUGAAUGCCUUUGAAGCCUACAAACUAUGAAAUUUUAAUGCUUAGCAGCCUCCCGGGGACCUCACGAUAAUACCUACAGGACAUCUCUCAGCAUCCCUGCUGGAAGAAGGACAGACAUCUCGGGGCGAGCACCACCGAUGGCUCCUCGCCGCCACCACAGGCACCGAGGGGCGCGCUGCCCGGGGACGGGAAAAGCACGAGUUCGUGGAAAGUGGAUGGGUACAGUAUGGAAAUAAAAGCGGAUCGCAUCCUCA